UAGGGAAUCUUCCACAAUGGACGCAAGUCUGAUGGAGCAACGCCGCGUGAGUGAAGAGGGUCUUCGGAUCGUAAAGCUCUGUUGUUGGUGAAGAAGGAUAGAGGCAGUAACUGGUCUUUAUUUGACGGUAAUCAACCAGAAAGUCACGGCUAACUACGUGCCAGCAGCCGCGGUAAUACGUAGGUGGCAAGCGUUGUCCGGAUUUAUUGGGCGUAAAGCGAGCGCAGGCGGAAUGAUAAGUCUGAUGCGAAAGCCCACGGCUCAACCGUGGAACUGCAUCGGAAACUGUCAUUCUUGAGUGCAGAAGAGGAGAGUGGAACUCCAUGUGUAGCGGUGGAAUGCGUAGAUAUAUGGAAGAACACCAGUGGCGAAGGCGGCUCUCUGGUCUGCAACUGACGCUGAGGCUCGAAAGCAUGGGUAGCGAACAGGAUUAGAUACCCUGGUAGUCCAUGCCGUAAACGAUGAGCGCUAGGUGUUGGGGACUUUCCGGUCCUCAGUGCCGCAGCAAACGCAUUAAGCGCUCCGCCUGGGGAGUACGACCGCAAGGUUGAAAC
Molecule: ribosomal RNA, 554 nt
Filed under: uncultured bacterium
Lineage: Bacteria
Description: partial 16S ribosomal RNA
Rfam family: Bacterial small subunit ribosomal RNA
Source: RNAcentral